CCCCCACCCCCAGCUACUGUACUUGAAGUGUGAUUCACUGUGAGUAAGGGCGAUUGAAGCAGUCCCUUUGGACUGAAGGCUUCUCAGGGAGAAUUCCACUCCCACUUACCCUUGAACACAGAAUCCAGGUGGCCGUUGAAUUGCCCUGACCCUGGACAGUUGCCAGAAAGCCAUUUAAGGCUGCCAGAUGAAGCAGCAAAGGGCCUCUGGGAGAGGCUGCUGAAAAUGCCCUUUCCGCACAUUAGCAGGAAAAGAGCAAGUAGCUUAGACCUCACCGACAUUCUUCUAAUAUUUGAAGAGUCUCCAGCAGCAUCUCCUGACUCUUGCAGCUGCUUUCCACUUUAGGCAUCAUUUGCACAUCUCCUGGCAACUUCCUGACUCAAUCCAACUGAAAACCACCCCAGCUGCCAGAAAUAUCUUUCUACUAACAGCAGCAGGGUUCAUAAUCUGUUGUUCAGUGGCUGCUCUCAGAGACAGCUUCCAGGGCAGCACUUGGGGGAUGAAAAGGUGGCACAAACUAAAAUAAAAAU
Molecule: long non-coding RNA, 530 nt
Organism: Podarcis raffonei (Aeolian wall lizard)
Lineage: Eukaryota; Metazoa; Chordata; Lepidosauria; Squamata; Lacertidae
Exons: 2
Source: RefSeq, a predicted model, not a curated record